This 505-nucleotide ribosomal RNA is filed under the name uncultured bacterium. Its description in RNAcentral is "partial 16S ribosomal RNA". It matches the Rfam family "Bacterial small subunit ribosomal RNA", at positions 899 to 1397 of the family's 1533-position model. The record is from RNAcentral.
ACUCAAAUGAAUUGACGGGGGCUCACACAAGCGGUGGAGCAUGUUGCUUAAUUCGAGGCAACGCGAAGAACCUUACCUGGGUUUGACAUGCUUGGAUUAACCCCGUGAAAGCGGGGCCACACCCUCCGGGUGGAACAAGCACAGGUGCUGCAUGGCUGUCGUCAGCUCGUGCUGUGAAGUGUCAGGUUAAGUCCUUUAACGAGCGCAACCCCUAUCGUUAGUUGCUCACGGGUCAUGCCGAGUACUCUAGCGAGACUGCCGGUGUCAAACCGGAGGAAGGUGGGGAUGACGUCAAGUCCUCAUGGCCCUUACAUCCAGGGUUGCAAACGUGCUACAAUGGCGCGCACAAAGCGACGCAAGAGCGCAAGCUGGAGCAAAUCGCAAAAAACGCGCCCCAGUUCGGAUUGCGGGCUGCAACUCGCCCGCAUGAAGUCGGAAUCGCUAGUAAUCGGAGAUCAGCUACGCUCCGGUGAAUGUGUUCCUGAGCCUUGUACACACCGCCCGU